This 1236-nucleotide ribosomal RNA is filed under the name metagenome. Its description in RNAcentral is "bacterial LSU rRNA". It matches the Rfam family "Bacterial large subunit ribosomal RNA", at positions 1564 to 2808 of the family's 2925-position model. The record is from RNAcentral.
UGAGUACGAGACGCUACGGCGUUGAAGCAGUGUAUGUCAGACUUCCAAGAAAAGCUCGCAAUGUCAUAAACAAAUAAUGCCUGUACCAUAACCGACACAGGUGGGUAGGUAGAGUAUACUAAGGGGCGCGAGAUAACUCUCUCUAAGGAACUCGGCAAAAUGACUCCGUAACUUCGGGAGAAGGAGUGCCUUAUUUUUAUAAGGUUGCAAUAACAAGAUCCAAGCAACUGUUUACCAAAAACACAGGUCUCCGCUAAGUCGUAAGACGAUGUAUGGGGGCUGACGCCUGCCCAGUGCCAGAAGGUUAAAGAAGUUGGUUAGCAAUAGCGAAGCUGAUAACUGAAGCCCUGGUGAACGGCGGCCGUAACGAUAACGGUCCUAAGGUAGCGAAAUUCCUUGUCGGGUAAGUUCCGACCCGCACGAAAGGCGUAAUGAUUUGGAUGCUGUCUCGGAGAGGGGCUCGGUGAAAUAGACUUGUCUGUGAAGAUGCGGACUACCUGCACCAGGACAGAAAGACCCUAUGAAGCUUUACUGUAACUUGAAAUUGAAAUUGGACUUUACUUGCGCAGUAUAGGUGGGAGGCGUUGAUUUUAUUCUUGCGGGAAUUUAGGAGCCAUCAGUGAGAUACCACUCUGGUAAUGUUAGAUUUCUAACUUUGUAUCAUAAUCUGGUCAAAGAACAGUUUCAGGCGGGCAGUUUGACUGGGGCGGUCGCCUCCCAAACGGUAACGGAGGCGUACAAAGGUUUCCUCUGAACGUGUAGAAAUCGUAUCUAGAGUGUAAAGGCAUAAGGAAGCUUGACUGUGAGACCUACAAGUCGAGCAGGGACGAAAGUCGGUCUUAGUGAUCUGACGGUGCUGAGUGGAAAGGCCGUCACUCAACGGAUAAAAGUUACUCUAGGAUAACAGGCUGAUCUCCCCCAAGAGUUCACAUCGACGGGGAGGUUUGGCACCUCGAUGUCGGCUCAUCGCAUCCUGGGGCGGUAGUACGUCCCAAGGGUUGGGCUGUUCGCCCAUGAAAGCGGUACGCGAGCUGGGUUCAGAACGUCGUGAGACAGUUCGGUCCAUAUCCGGUGUAGGCGUUAGAAUAUUGAGAGGAUCCUUCUUUAGUACGAGAGGACCGAGAAGGACAUACCUCUGGUGUACCAGUUAUCGUGCCAACGGUAAACGCUGGGUAGCUAUGUAUGGAAAGGAUAACCGCUGAAAGCAUCUAAGUGGGAAGCCUACCUCAAGAUAAG